ACGGGAGGCAGCAGUGGGGAAUAUUGCACAAUGGGGGAAACCCUGAUGCAGCAACGCCGCGUGAGUGAAGAAGUAUUUCGGUAUGUAAAGCUCUAUCAGCAGGGAAGAAAAUGUCGGUACCUGACUAAGAAGCCCCGGCUAACUACGUGCCAGCAGCCGCGGUAAUACGUAGGGGGCAAGCGUUAUCCGGAUUUACUGGGUGUAAAGGGAGCGUAGACGGCGGUGCAAGUCUGAAGUGAAACUCCGGUGCUCAACAUCGGAACUGCUUUGGAAACUGUACUGCUAGAGUGCAGGAGGGGUAAGCGGAAUUCCUAGUGUAGCGGUGAAAUGCGUAGAUAUUAGGAGGAACACCGGUGGCGAAGGCGGCUUACUGGACUGUAACUGACGUUGAGGCUCGAAGGCGUGGGGAGCAAACAGGAUUAGAUACCCUGGUA
This 434-nucleotide ribosomal RNA is filed under the name uncultured Clostridium sp. RNAcentral describes it as "partial 16S ribosomal RNA". It matches the Rfam family "Bacterial small subunit ribosomal RNA", at positions 341 to 792 of the family's 1533-position model. The record is from RNAcentral. Lineage: Bacteria; Bacillati; Bacillota; Clostridia; Eubacteriales; Clostridiaceae.